This is a long non-coding RNA of Carassius carassius (crucian carp), 511 nucleotides long. RefSeq lists it as uncharacterized. The record is from RefSeq and is a predicted model, not a curated record. The transcript is spliced from 2 exons. NCBI's taxonomy places the organism in Eukaryota, Metazoa, Chordata, Actinopteri, Cypriniformes, Cyprinidae.
AGGUUAGUUCAUCAGGAUCUGAGGAGAUCUGCAGUUUACACAGUGAGAAACUCAAGCUCUUCUGUCUGGAGGACAAACAGCCGGUGUGUGUGGUGUGCUUUACUUACACAACAACAUGACAAUCACAAAUUCAGACCCAUCGGUGAAGUGGUUUCAUCACUGAGGGAGGAGCUCAAUACAACACUGAAUUCCUUACAGGAGGAACUUCAACACAAAGAAAUCAUUAAAGGAAAGUUUGAAAAAACACUUCAAUACAUCAACGUGAGAUUUGAUAUUUCUACAUUUUAUUAGAAUAGAUGCAGUAUUGUGUCUGACAUAAUAACAUGUUCCUGUAUUGACUGUUUACUCCUUGGAGUUUAUGAAAUUAACUAUCAAACAUGUGCAUUUAAAAUCUUUUUAUUCUCGGAAAAGAAAAACUAUUAUACAGGAGUGUCGUGGAAAAGUUAAUUUCAGUAAUUCAACUCAAAUUGUGAAACUCGUGUAUUAAAUAAAUUAAAUGCACACAGACAGA